CCUACGGGAGGCAGCAGUGAGGAAUAUUGGUCAAUGGACGAGAGUCUGAACCAGCCAUGCCGCGUGCAGGAUGACGGCUCUAUGAGUUGUAAACUGCUUUUGUACGAGGGUAAACCCCGAUACGUGUAUCGGGUUGAAAGUAUCGUACGAAUAAGGAUCGGCUAACUCCGUGCCAGCAGCCGCGGUAAUACGGAGGAUCCGAGCGUUAUCCGGAUUUAUUGGGUUUAAAGGGUGCGUAGGCGGUUUGAUAAGUUAGAGGUGAAAUGUCGGGGCUCAACCCCGAAACUGCCUCUAAUACUGUUGGACUAGAGAAUAGUUGCGGUAGGCGGAAUGUAUGGUGUAGCGGUGAAAGGCUUAGAGAUCAUACAGAACACCGAUUGCGAAGGCAGCUUACCAAACUAUAUCUGACGUUGAGGCACGAAAGCGUGGGUAGCAAACAGGAUUAGAUACCCCAGUAGUC
RNAcentral lists this ribosomal RNA (460 nucleotides) under uncultured bacterium. RNAcentral describes it as "partial 16S ribosomal RNA". It matches the Rfam family "Bacterial small subunit ribosomal RNA", at positions 338 to 795 of the family's 1533-position model. The record is from RNAcentral.